GACGAACGCUGGCGGCGUGCUUAACACAUGCAAGUCGAGCGGUAAGGCCCUUUUGGGGUACACGAGCGGCGAACGGGUGAGUAACACGUGGGUGACCUGCCCUCAGCUCUGGGAUAAGCCUGGGAAACUGGGUCUAAUACUGGAUAUGACCUUUCCUCGCAUGGGGUUGGGUGGAAAGUUUUCGGCUGGGGAUGGGCCCGCGGCCUAUCAGCUUGUUGGUGGGGUGAUGGCCUACCAAGGCGACGACGGGUAGCCGGCCUGAGAGGGCGACCGGCCACACUGGGACUGAGACACGGCCCAGACUCCUACGGGAGGCAGCAGUGGGGAAUAUUGCGCAAUGGGCGGAAGCCU
RNAcentral lists this ribosomal RNA (351 nucleotides) under uncultured bacterium. Its description in RNAcentral is "bacterial SSU rRNA". It matches the Rfam family "Bacterial small subunit ribosomal RNA", at positions 28 to 384 of the family's 1533-position model. The record is from RNAcentral.